Molecule: ribosomal RNA, 254 nt
Filed under: uncultured bacterium
Lineage: Bacteria
Description: partial 16S ribosomal RNA
Rfam family: Bacterial small subunit ribosomal RNA
Source: RNAcentral
GACGUAGGGCGCGAGCGUUGUCCGGAUUUACUGGGCGUAAAGGGCGCGUAGGCGGCCUCCGCAAGUCAGUUGUGAAAUCUCCGAGCUUAACUCGGAAAGGUCAACUGAUACUGCGGGGCUAGAGUGCGGAAGGGGCAACUGGAAUUCUUGGUGUAGCGGUGAAAUGCGUAGAUAUCAAGAGGAACACCUGCGGCGAAGGCGGGUUGCUGGGCCGACACUGACGCUGAGGCGCGAAAGCUAGGGGAGUGAACGGG